UGGCCGUAAACGAUGUGGACUUGGUGUUGGAAUGGCUCCGAGCUGCUCCAGUGCCGAAGGGAAGCUGUUAAGUCCACCGCCUGGGAAGUACGGUCGCAAGACUGAAACUUAAAGGAAUUGGCGGGGGGAGCACCACAACGCGUGGAGCCUGCGGUUUAAUUGGGAUUCAACGCCGGACAUCUCACCAGGGGCGGCAGCAGAAUGAUGGCCAGGUUGAUGACCUUGCUUGACAAGCUGAGAGGAGGUGCAUGGCGUGUGACUGU
Molecule: ribosomal RNA, 263 nt
Filed under: uncultured archaeon
Lineage: Archaea
Description: partial 16S ribosomal RNA
Rfam family: Archaeal small subunit ribosomal RNA
Source: RNAcentral